This 418-nucleotide ribosomal RNA is filed under the name uncultured beta proteobacterium. Its description in RNAcentral is "bacterial SSU rRNA". It matches the Rfam family "Bacterial small subunit ribosomal RNA", at positions 60 to 487 of the family's 1533-position model. Lineage: Bacteria; Pseudomonadati; Pseudomonadota; Betaproteobacteria. The record is from RNAcentral.
AGCAUAAGAAGAAAGCUGUGCUCUCUUGAUUGUGGCGGAUCGUGGCGACACGGGUGAGUAAAUAUAUCGGAACGUGCCCAGUAAUGGGGAAUAACUAACUGAAAGGUUAGCUAAUACGCAUACGACCUACGGGUGAAAGCAGGGGAUCUUAGGACCUUGCGUUAUUGGAGCGGCCGAUAUCUGAUUAGCUUGUUGGUGGGGUAAAAGCCUACCAAGGCAACGAUCAGUAGCUGGUCUGAGAGGACGAUCAGCCACACUGGAACUGAGACACGGUCCAGACUCCUACGGGAGGCAGCAGUGGGGAAUUUUGGACAAUGGGCGCAAGCCUGAUCCAGCCAUACCGCGUGUGUGAAGAAGGCCUUCGGGUUGUAAAGCACUUUAAGCAGGGAAGAAGCGAAAGUGACGGUAACUGCAGAAG